RNAcentral lists this ribosomal RNA (497 nucleotides) under uncultured bacterium. Its description in RNAcentral is "partial 16S ribosomal RNA". It matches the Rfam family "Bacterial small subunit ribosomal RNA", at positions 30 to 523 of the family's 1533-position model. The record is from RNAcentral.
AUUGAACGCUGGCGGUAUGCUUAACACAUGCAAGUCGAUCGGUAACAGGCCUUCGGGCGCUGACGAGUGGCGGACGGGUGAGUAACGCGUAGGAAUCUGCCUCAUAGUGGGGGACAACGUGGGGAAACUCACGCUAAUACCGCAUACGCCCUACGGGGGAAAGCGGGGGAUCUUCGGACCUCGCGCUAUGAGAUGAGCCUGCGUUAGAUUAGCUAGUUGGUAGGGUAAAGGCCUACCAAGGCGACGAUCUAUAGCUGGUCUGAGAGGACGAUCAGCCACACUGGGACUAAGACACGGCCCAGACUCCUACGGGAGGCAGCAGUGGGGAAUAUUGGACAAUGGGCGCAAGCCUGAUCCAGCAAUACCGCGUGUGUGAAGAAGGCCCUAGGGUUGUAAAGCACUUUCAAUUGGGAGGAAAACCUGCCGGUCAAUACCCGGCAGCUUGACAUUACCUUUAGAAGAAGCACCGGCUAACUCCGUGCCAGCCGCCGCGGUAA